This 253-nucleotide ribosomal RNA is filed under the name uncultured bacterium. Its description in RNAcentral is "partial 16S ribosomal RNA". It matches the Rfam family "Bacterial small subunit ribosomal RNA", at positions 524 to 776 of the family's 1533-position model. The record is from RNAcentral.
UACGUAGGGGGCUAGCGUUGUCCGGAAUCAUUGGGCGUAAAGAGCGUGUAGGCGGUCCGGUAAGUCCGCUGUGAAAGUCGGGGGCUCAACCCUCGAAUGCCGGUGGAUACUGUCGGGCUAGAGUGCGGAAGAGGCGAGUGGAAUUCCUGGUGUAGCGGUGAAAUGCGCAGAUAUCAGGAGGAACGCCUAUUGCGAAGGCAGCUCGCUGGGACGUAACUGACGCUGAGACGCGAAAGCGUGGGGAGCAAACAGG